GGAGAGGUGUCCGAGUGGCUGAAGGAGCACGCCUGGAAAGUGUGUAUACGCUAACCGCGUAUCGAGGGUUCGAAUCCCUCUCUCUCCGCCA
Molecule: transfer RNA, 91 nt
Filed under: Idiomarina loihiensis
Lineage: Bacteria; Pseudomonadati; Pseudomonadota; Gammaproteobacteria; Alteromonadales; Idiomarinaceae
Also listed under: 6 other names
Description: tRNA-Ser
Rfam family: tRNA
About the family: Transfer RNA (tRNA) molecules are approximately 80 nucleotides in length.
Source: RNAcentral